UACGAAGGGGGCUAGCGUUGGUUCGGAAUCACUGGGCGUAAAGGGCGCGUAGGCGGCUUUAUAAGUCGGGGUGAAAGCCUGUGGCUCAACCACAGAAUUGCCUUCGAUACUGUAGAGCUUGAGACCGGAAGAGGUAAGUGGAACUGCGAGUGUAGAGGUGAAAUUCGUAGAUAUUCGCAAGAACACCAGUGGCGAAGGCGGCUGUCUGGUCCGGUUCUGACGCUGAGGCGCGAAAGCGUGGGGAGCAAACAGG
Molecule: ribosomal RNA, 253 nt
Filed under: uncultured bacterium
Lineage: Bacteria
Description: partial 16S ribosomal RNA
Rfam family: Bacterial small subunit ribosomal RNA
Source: RNAcentral